UAGGGAAUCUUCGGCAAUGGACGAAAGUCUGACCGAGCAACGCCGCGUGAGUGAAGAAGGUUUUCGGAUCGUAAAACUCUGUUGUUAGAGAAGAACAAGGACGUUAGUAACUGAACGUCCCCUGACGGUAUCUAACCAGAAAGCCACGGCUAACUACGUGCCAGCAGCCGCGGUAAUACGUAGGUGGCAAGCGUUGUCCGGAUUUAUUGGGCGUAAAGCGAGCGCAGGCGGUUUCUUAAGUCUGAUGUGAAAGCCCCCGGCUCAACCGGGGAGGGUCAUUGGAAACUGGGAGACUUGAGUGCAGAAGAGGAGAGUGGAAUUCCAUGUGUAGCGGUGAAAUGCGUAGAUAUAUGGAGGAACACCAGUGGCGAAGGCGGCUCUCUGGUCUGUAACUGACGCUGAGACUCGAAAGCGUGGGGAGCAAACAGG
This 429-nucleotide ribosomal RNA is filed under the name Chloroflexota bacterium. RNAcentral describes it as "Chloroflexi bacterium partial 16S ribosomal RNA". It matches the Rfam family "Bacterial small subunit ribosomal RNA", at positions 355 to 776 of the family's 1533-position model. RNAcentral also lists the same sequence under 1 other name. The record is from RNAcentral. Lineage: Bacteria; Bacillati; Chloroflexota.